RNAcentral lists this ribosomal RNA (436 nucleotides) under uncultured bacterium. RNAcentral's name for it is "partial 16S ribosomal RNA". It matches the Rfam family "Bacterial small subunit ribosomal RNA", at positions 29 to 507 of the family's 1533-position model. The record is from RNAcentral.
AGCGAACGCUGGCGGCAGGCUUAACACAUGCAAGUCGAGCGGGCAUCCUUGUGGUGUCCGCGGCAGACGGGUGAGUAACGCGUGGGAACGUGCCCUUCGGUUCGGAAUAACUCAGGGAAACUUGAGCUAAUACCGGAUACGCCCUUUUGGGGAAAGGUUUACUGCCGAAGGAUCGGCCCGCGUCUGAUUAGCUAGUUGGUGAGGUUAUGGCUCACCAAGGCGACGAUCAGUAGCUGGUCUGAGAGGAUGAUCAGCCACACUGGGACUGGGACACGGCCCAGACUCCUACGGGAGGCAGCAGUGGGGAAUAUUGGACAAUGGGGGCAACCCUGAUCCAGCCAUGCCGCGUGAGUGAUGACGGCCUUAGGGUUGUAAAGCUCUUUUCUCCGGGACGAUAAUGACGGUACCGGAGGAAUAAGCCCCGGCUAACUUCGUG